This 91-nucleotide transfer RNA is filed under the name Elusimicrobia bacterium HGW-Elusimicrobia-1. RNAcentral's name for it is "tRNA-Ser". It matches the Rfam family "tRNA". From Rfam's summary of the family: Transfer RNA (tRNA) molecules are approximately 80 nucleotides in length. Their secondary structure includes four short double-helical elements and three loops (D, anti-codon, and T loops). The record is from RNAcentral. Lineage: Bacteria; Pseudomonadati; Elusimicrobiota.
GGAGAGGUGGCCGAGUGGUUGAAGGCGUCGGUCUUGAAAACCGAUGUGCGCCUUGUGCGUACCGCGAGUUCGAAUCUCGCCCUCUCCGCCA